Molecule: ribosomal RNA, 493 nt
Filed under: uncultured bacterium
Lineage: Bacteria
Description: bacterial SSU rRNA
Rfam family: Bacterial small subunit ribosomal RNA
Source: RNAcentral
GACGAACGCUGGCGGCGCGCCUAACACAUGCAAGUCGAACGAGAGAGGAAGAGCUUGCUUUUCCGAUCGAGUGGCGAACGGGUGAGUAACGCGUGAGGAACCUGCCUCAAAGAGGGGGACAACAGUUGGAAACGACUGCUAAUACCGCAUAAGCCCACGGCUCGGCAUCGAGCAGAGGGAAAAGGAGCAAUCCGCUUUGAGAUGGCCUCGCGUCCGAUUAGCUAGUUGGUGAGGUAAUGGCCCACCAAGGCGACGAUCGGUAGCCGGACUGAGAGGUUGAACGGCCACAUUGGGACUGAGACACGGCCCAGACUCCUACGGGAGGCAGCAGUGGGGAAUAUUGCACAAUGGGGGAAACCCUGAUGCAGCGACGCCGCGUGGAGGAAGAAGGUCUUCGGAUUGUAAACUCCUGUUGUUGAGGAAGAUAAUGACGGUACUCAACAAGGAAGUGACGGCUAACUACGUGCCAGCAGCCGCGGUAAAUACGAGAGUA